RNAcentral lists this ribosomal RNA (1241 nucleotides) under metagenome. Its description in RNAcentral is "bacterial LSU rRNA". It matches the Rfam family "Bacterial large subunit ribosomal RNA", at positions 1564 to 2815 of the family's 2925-position model. The record is from RNAcentral.
UGAAUACGAGAUGCUACGGCGUCGAAGCAGUCUAUGUCAUACAUCCAAGAAAAGCUUGCACUGUCAUAAACAAAUGAUGCCUGUACCAUAACCGACACAGGUGGGUAGGUAGAGUAUACUAAGGGGCGCGAGAUAACUCUCUCUAAGGAACUCGGCAAAAUGACUCUGUAACUUCGGGAGAAGGAGUGCCUUAUUUAUAAGGUUGCAAUAACAAGAUCCAAGCAACUGUUUACCAAAAACACAGGUCUCCGCUAAGUCGUAAGACGAUGUAUGGGGGCUGACGCCUGCCCAGUGCCAGAAGGUUAAAGAAGUUGGUUAGCAUCCGCGAAGCUGAUAACUGAAGCCCUGGUGAACGGCGGCCGUAACAAUAACGGUCCUAAGGUAGCGAAAUUCCUUGUCGGGUAAGUUCCGACCCGCACGAAAGGCGUAAUGAUUUGGAUACUGUCUCGGAGAGGGGCUCGGUGAAAUAGACUUGUCUGUGAAGAUGCGGACUACCUGCACCAGGACAGAAAGACCCUAUGAAGCUUUACUGUAACCUGAAAUUGAAAUUGGACUUUACUUGCGCAGUAUAGGUGGGAGGCGUUGAGAAUAUUCUUGCGGGAUUAUUGGAGCCAUCAGUGAGAUACCACUCUUGUAAUGUUAGAUUUCUAACUUUGUAUCAUUAUCUGGUCAAAGAACAGUUUCAGGCGGGCAGUUUGACUGGGGCGGUCGCCUCCUAAACGGUAACGGAGGCGCACAAAGGUUUCCUCUGAACGGGUAGAAAUCGUAUCUAGAGUGUAAAGGCAUAAGGAAGCUUGACUGUGAGACCUACAAGUCGAGCAGGGACGAAAGUCGGUCUUAGUGAUCUGACGGUGCUGAGUGGAAAGGCCGUCACUCAACGGAUAAAAGUUACUCUAGGAUAACAGGCUGAUCUCCCCCAAGAGUUCACAUCGACGGGGAGGUUUGGCACCUCGAUGUCGGCUCAUCGCAUCCUGGGGCGGUAGUACGUCCCAAGGGUUGGGCUGUUCGCCCAUGAAAGCGGUACGCGAGCUGGGUUCAGAACGUCGUGAGACAGUUCGGUCCAUAUCCGGUGUAGGCGUUAGAAUAUUGAGAGGAGCCUUCUUUAGUACGAGAGGACCGAGAAGGACAUACCUCUGGUGUACCAGUUAUCGUGCCAACGGUAAACGCUGGGUAGCUAUGUGUGGAGUGGAUAACCGCUGAAAGCAUCUAAGUGGGAAGCCCACCUCAAGAUAAGUAUUCUC